This is a non-coding RNA of Hyaena hyaena (striped hyena), 85 nucleotides long. Lineage: Eukaryota; Metazoa; Chordata; Mammalia; Carnivora; Hyaenidae. The record is from the annotation of a RefSeq genome assembly.
GCCUGGGUGGCUCAGUCGGUUGAGCAUCUGACUUCUGCUCAGGUCAUGAUUUCAUGGUCGGUGGGUUCAAGCCCCACAUUGGGCU